Long non-coding RNA from Labrus mixtus (cuckoo wrasse), 1114 nucleotides. RefSeq lists it as uncharacterized. NCBI's taxonomy places the organism in Eukaryota, Metazoa, Chordata, Actinopteri, Labriformes, Labridae. The record is from RefSeq and is a predicted model, not a curated record. The transcript has 2 exons.
CGAGGUAAGUAAGACGUUUUUAGUAAUGUCAUUGUUUAAGCGUUAUUUUUUAUAUCCCGAAGAUAUUCACCUGUGUUAGGAGCUAUUUUAUUUUCUACUCCGGAGUAGGCGAAAGUAAUUUGUAGCUUGCAGUUUGCACUGCUACUGCUAGUUAGCCAUCUUUUACCAUUAGAAUAAUUUCGGUGAUUGUAAAAUGCUAGAAACAGCAAUGAAUAAGUGUUCUCACUUGAAUCCCUCUGAAUGUUUGUCAUUUCUUUACAGUCGGAUGUCGGUAUGGCUCCUGAAGAGGGGCCGGUCGCGGGGCCGGUCGAGUGUCCGAGGCCAUUGCUUCAGCUGUUUGGCAUCACUCGCCCUUUACUGCCUUGAUGCAGGUGUUUUGCGGGUCCACAUCACUCAACUUGGCAGGGCAAGGGAGCCAGCGCAAGACAACCGGGAGUACCGCUUUGCUACAUACUGAAGCUUUAUAUAUUGGAAACCGGUUGGUAAUUCCCAGCUGCUGUGUGUGGAGGAUUAGGGGUGGCCUGAUCCCUAUGCUCAGUAUACUGGAUAUAUUCCUGGCCACUAGCAAAACUUCUUUUACAUUUGGCUACAUGCACAAUUUGGGCAUCAAAUGCCAACAUCAACUUGUUUGUUUGAAGUGCUUUGUAUUCCGUUAGAAUUAUUUAAUGUUGCAUUUUUUUAAAUAAAUCUAAUUUAUUGAUGUAAAAGGUCUGAUCAAUUGUAUUUGCAUAUCCUCUGUUACGGCUCUGGCUGUGAUCCUGUUUCUGUGUAUCCUUUGUGUCCCCUCCCCCUCUGUCUGUCUGUGUGUGUGUCUCUGGAGGGUGUGGCUGCAAUCAACACCGGGUGACUACUCACACCUGCAGCUCAUCUGCUCAUCUGUCUCAAGCUAAAAGCCCUGGGCUCAACUCGACUCAUUGCCAGAUUAUUGAGUCUACUGAAGUGAUUCUCACCAGUGUCUUCUCCUCCAGUCUGCUCUCCUCUCAGACAACUCAACCAAUCACCCGCCUGCCUACAGAACCAGCUACUCCAUAGUCUCCUCCACGCCGUCAUUACCAGCCAGCCAGUCAGCCAUCCACCUUUCCCAAACCCUGCAAUAAAACCUCAAACCCUUCAA